AUGAACGCUGGCGGCGUGCCUAAUACAUGCCAGUCGCGCGGACAGACGAGGAGCUUGCUCCUCUGACGUUAGCGGCGGACGGGUGAGUAACACGUGGAUAACCUACCUAUAAGACUGGGAUAACUUCGGGAAACCGGAGCUAAUACCGGAUAAUAUAUUGAACCGCAUGGUUCAAUAGUGAAAGACGGUUUUGCUGUCACUUAUAGAUGGAUCCGCGCCGCAUUAGCUAGUUGGUAAGGUAACGGCUUACCAAGGCGACGAUGCGUAGCCGACCUGAGAGGGUGAUCGGCCACACUGGAACUGAGACACGGUCCAGACUCCUACGGGAGGCAGCAGUAGGGAAUCUUCCGCAAUGGGCGAAAGCCUGACGGAGCAACGCCGCGUGAGUGAUGAAGGUCUUCGGAUCGUAAAACUCUGUUAUUAGGGAAGAACAAAUGUGUAAGUAACUAUGCACGUCUUGACGGUACCUAAUCAGAAAGCCACGGCUAACUACGUG
RNAcentral lists this ribosomal RNA (496 nucleotides) under uncultured bacterium. RNAcentral describes it as "partial 16S ribosomal RNA". It matches the Rfam family "Bacterial small subunit ribosomal RNA", at positions 29 to 507 of the family's 1533-position model. The record is from RNAcentral.